AAGAGGAAGUGGCUUAAUGUUCCCUCCUGUUUGUAAUUCCCCUACUGCCAUCAUCCUCCUAAGAGCACAGCGUGGCCUCUUGCCCACCAGUCUCUUACCUCACCUCACCGAAGAUUGGCUGCCCUUUCUCUUCCAUCUCCAACCCCUCCUCUACCUUCCUUACCUCCUGCCAUAAUGACUGGAGCCCCAGCAGUCAUACUGGACCAUGAGGUUUCUUGAAAAUGGAAGCCACAAGCCAUCCAUGGAAAGAGGGCUUAUUCACAAAAUGAAUGUAGCAGAAGAAAGAAUUGGGGAACAUGAAGAGAGGUCAAUGGAAAUUAUCCACACUGAAACUUAAGAAGUAAAAAAGGAGGAGAAAAAAAACUAGCAUUUCAAAAACCGUAGGAUAAUAUGAAAUGGUUUAACAUACAUGUAAUUGAGUCCCAGAAGAAGAGACAAGAGGCCAGAAGAAACGAUCACAGCUGAGGUUUUCCCCAGAUGAAUGAAAAACAACAAUCCACAGAUGCAAGAAGCUCAGAUAACCCUAAGCAAGAUAAAAAUGAAUAAAAGCACACCUGGGCACGUCCUAGACAAACUGUUGAAAAUCAGCGUGAAGAGGAAAUCUUUGAAGGCAGCCAGAGAAUAAGGAAAUAGUCCAUAAGGAAGACAUUCUAUGAAGCAGACUUCUUAUCAGGCACUAUGCAAGCAGAAGAUGAUGGAAUGACAUCUUUAACAUAGUUAAAGAAAAAAAUCCACCUAGAAUCUUACAUUCAGUGAAAAAAUUUUAAAUGAUGAAAACAUUUCAUAAAUAAAAAAUAAAGAGUUUUUUUGGCAAAUAGAAGAGAAUUUUUCAUCAUAAGUACUACACUACAAGAAAUUUUAAAGUAAAUUCUCCAGGCAGAAGGAAUCUGAGACUGGAAAGAAAUUCAGAUCUACACAAAGGAAUGAGGAGUGCUUGAAACCACUGUUCUGCCGUAGUGACAGAAAAAAAUAUUAAA
This is a long non-coding RNA of Rhinopithecus roxellana (golden snub-nosed monkey), 977 nucleotides long. RefSeq lists it as uncharacterized. The transcript is spliced from 3 exons. NCBI's taxonomy places the organism in Eukaryota, Metazoa, Chordata, Mammalia, Primates, Cercopithecidae. The record is from RefSeq and is a predicted model, not a curated record.